CCUACGGGUGGCAGCAGUGGGGAAUAUUGCACAAUGGGGGAAACCCUGAUGCAGCGACGCCGCGUGAGUGAAGAAGUAAUUCGUUAUGUAAAGCUCUAUCAGCAGGGAAGAAAAUGACGGUACCUGAGUAAGAAGCCCCGGCUAACUACGUGCCAGCAGCCGCGGUAAUACGUAGGGGGCAAGCGUUAUCCGGAUUUACUGGGUGUAAAGGGAGCGUAGACGGCAGUGCAAGUCUGGAGUGAAAGGCGGGGGCUCAACCCCCGGACUGCUCUGGAAACUGGCGGGCUAGAGAGCAGGAGAGGGCGGUGGAACUCCAUGUGUAGCGGUAAAAUGCGUAGAUAUAUGGAAGAACAUCAGUGGCGAAGGCGGCCGCCUGGCCUGUUAACUGACGCUGAGGCACGAAAGCGUGGGGAGCAAAUAGGAUUAGAUACCCGAGUAGUC
This 441-nucleotide ribosomal RNA is filed under the name uncultured bacterium. Its description in RNAcentral is "partial 16S ribosomal RNA". It matches the Rfam family "Bacterial small subunit ribosomal RNA", at positions 338 to 795 of the family's 1533-position model. The record is from RNAcentral.